UAAAAAGCAAACAAAGAAAUAAAGUGAAACACAACACACAUUGUUGUGUGUAUUUCCUUUUUAUAUGUACAUUUAAUGUCAUAAUUGAAUGGAAACAUUUGUUAAAAGACAAUUAUUUAGCAUUUUGUUUUUAAUACCUAAUAAUUCAACGAUUUUUAUUGUAACAUGAAUUUUCCAUGCCACAUUAAAAUCAAGUCACAACACAGAAAGCGCAGACAGAAUGGAAAGGACGCGAAUGCAGUAGACACCUUUUACAAAGGAAAAAACAAAACAUUUAUUUUGUUAUCUGGGGUAGAACAUUCAACGUGACCACACAGAAAGUGGCUAAUUCUAGUGAAAAUGUUGGUAAAGUAGCUUAUACAAUCCGUUAAAUCUCACAAAGUCACACUUGUUUCCUCUAACAUGGAUUAAAUGAGUUGAAAAAGCCACAUACAGUAAACUGCACUAAUCCUCACCAGGAUUGUAUAAUUG
This is a long non-coding RNA of Sebastes umbrosus (honeycomb rockfish), 471 nucleotides long. RefSeq lists it as uncharacterized. Lineage: Eukaryota; Metazoa; Chordata; Actinopteri; Perciformes; Sebastidae. The transcript is spliced from 2 exons. The record is from RefSeq and is a predicted model, not a curated record.